This 231-nucleotide ribosomal RNA is filed under the name uncultured bacterium. RNAcentral's name for it is "partial 16S ribosomal RNA". It matches the Rfam family "Bacterial small subunit ribosomal RNA", at positions 118 to 350 of the family's 1533-position model. The record is from RNAcentral.
UGAGCAACCUGCCCCUGGCUCUGGGAUAACCCCGGGAAACCGGAGCUAAUACCGGAUACGAGACCGAUUGGCAUCUAUACGGUCUGGAAAGUUUUUCGGCCAGGAAUGGGCUCGCGGCCUAUCAGCUUGUUGGUGGGGUAAUGGUCCACCAAGGCGACGACGGGUAGCCGGCCUGAGAGGGCGAUCGGCCACACUGGGACUGAGACACGGCCCAGACUCCUACGGGAGGCA